Acanthosepion pharaonis is the source of this 112-nucleotide non-coding RNA. The record is from the annotation of a GenBank genome assembly. Lineage: Eukaryota; Metazoa; Mollusca; Cephalopoda; Sepiida; Sepiidae.
UUGCGGCCAUAUCACGUUGAAACACCGGUUCUCGUACGAUUACUGAAGUUAAACAACAUCGAGCAUGUUCACUACCUUCAUGAGUGACCGCUUGGGAAUACCAGGUGUAGUA